GGGACAGGGACAGAAAUGUCUCAGACCUAGAGCUGUCUGCUGACCCCUGAAGAAGUCCCCUAAAUGGCAGCCCAUCCACCAAGGAGACAGGCUGAUUUCCAGGGAGUCUUGAACAAGGUGGGGCUGACAGACCAUUACGAGCCCCAAUGCACUUCCAAGGAGGAAGUGGGCUCCUGGGAAGACUGUGCAGAAGACAAGACACAGCUUGUGGGCGGAGUCCGCACAGUGGACCCUCAGGAGACAGAGCUCAGUGGCGCCUCAACCAAACCCGGAAGUCUUGUUCUUCCAGCUUCUG
Molecule: long non-coding RNA, 295 nt
Filed under: Equus asinus (donkey)
Lineage: Eukaryota; Metazoa; Chordata; Mammalia; Perissodactyla; Equidae
Description: lncRNA (ENSEASG00005025809.1)
Source: RNAcentral